ACAUGAAUUGACUGAGUACAUAUCAAGUCUUACACUGUAUACUUCACAUGCACUAACUCUCCUACUCUUCACAACAAGCAUGCAAGGUGGGAAAAUAGAGGCUGAGAGAAAUUGAGUAACUUGCCUCAAGCCAUAUAUUCGGCACCGAGAUGUGAUCUGAGCCAGAGCCAACAACUGAGGUCCAAACAGCGUGCCUUGCGCAAGGCCACACAAGAGAUAAUGGCAUUGGCUGUACCAGUGGCCCAGAUCCUUCACCUGCAGAAGAGCUUCCCAGAGAGGAGCAAGCCUUCCUGCCGUCACCUCUGGUGUCAUCCUAUAGGACAUUAAAACCAACUCAAGAUUGUGUUGAAAACUGUUUUCCUUUUGAGGAUGCUAAUAAGAACAAGAUCAUAUCAACGGGUAUGGAUCAUGGCAGGAUUUUCCUUCAGCUGAGUCUUUUAAUGAGCCGUUUCAUAAUGAGGGCUGAAUCUACACACAGUAUCUACAUGC
Molecule: long non-coding RNA, 489 nt
Filed under: Homo sapiens (human)
Lineage: Eukaryota; Metazoa; Chordata; Mammalia; Primates; Hominidae
Description: HSALNT0101709
Source: RNAcentral